RNAcentral lists this ribosomal RNA (252 nucleotides) under uncultured bacterium. RNAcentral's name for it is "partial 16S ribosomal RNA". It matches the Rfam family "Bacterial small subunit ribosomal RNA", at positions 525 to 776 of the family's 1533-position model. The record is from RNAcentral.
ACGUAGGGUGCAAGCGUUAUCCGGAUUUAUUGGGUUUAAAGGGUCCGUAGGCGGGUAUUUAAGUCAGUGGUGAAAGCCCACAGCUCAACUGUGGAACUGCCAUUGAUACUGGAUGUCUUGAGUAUAGUAGAAGUAGGCGGAAUAGGGCAUGUAGCGGUGAAAUGCAUAGAUAUGCCCUAGAACACCGAUUGCGAAGGCAGCUUACUAUGUUAUAACUGACGCUGAGGGACGAAAGCGUGGGGAGCAAACAGG